This 873-nucleotide long non-coding RNA is filed under the name Struthio camelus australis. RNAcentral describes it as "lncRNA (ENSSCUG00000001328.1)". The record is from RNAcentral. Lineage: Eukaryota; Metazoa; Chordata; Aves; Struthioniformes; Struthionidae.
GUUAAAGCCUGUAAGACAGAUAGGUGUUAAAGACCUUGCCUCUGAAAGUCUCAGUGACCUUAAAGAAGUGCAAAGCCAAGGACGAGGCGUUGUCAUGUUUGCAGAGGCCAUGCAUCAUGGAGGGGAGAGCCCCGUGGAGCUUUGGAGAAAGAGGUCUUCUGGGAAGUCUGCGCCGGGCAAGAGCAGCAUGGCAAAUCUGGUGCCCCAGGGUGUUGAAGAGCACAGGCAACCUUUGACAAGAAAAGGGAGCCAAGACUAUGUAUAUUCCAGCGGCGCUGUGAGCCGGGAGGACGGUACAUGGGCACUGUGCCACAUCCAGGGAUUCCAGUCCCCAGGCAGAGCGUUUCCGCUAUCCAAAGAGGAAUUUGAAGAUGACCCUUCCUACAAACUGCCGCCGCCUCCGCCUCCUUCUCCGUGCCUACAGGAGGACUAUAAUGAGAUUUCUUCAGGGGGAAACCCCUGCCUUUGAAGGACACAGCAAUCAAGACAGUCUUCUCCAUUAACCCUUCAUCAAACAAUGGCUGAGGGAACCUGUCCUGACACUGGCCUGCUCCUGUCUCAGCUCCUGUCUCGCCUUGUGUUUAGGCCCCUUCCACUGUGUUUCCCUUGCCACAGGGCAGGUGACGGAAGUGGCCCGGCAGUUUCUGCAGUCUGUAAACAUUUGGGACAGGUACAAAUCUCUGAGUUCUGAAAAUUAAAGAAGAGCUUCUCACCCCCUCUCCUGUUUCUGUGCUGCGCGUUGGCUUCCAAAGAGGAGCUAGUCUGUUGAGCAGCUCGAAUACGCGCCAUGGCCUGGCUGUAGCUGCCUUAAUAUCCUGUGUCAAGAAAAUCGCAUUUACCCACCCGCUCCAUAGGGCAGACUGGCACAGUAGG